This 11573-nucleotide long non-coding RNA is filed under the name Hordeum vulgare. RNAcentral describes it as "long non-coding RNA (HVUL_LNC010058)". Lineage: Eukaryota; Viridiplantae; Streptophyta; Magnoliopsida; Poales; Poaceae. The record is from RNAcentral.
GCGUGUUUUUUACCUAUUCUAGUUUAUAGUACCAAAUGAAGUCCAAUUUCCUCGAAUUUUUUAUAUUUUUUUCUGAACCAUAUGAAGACAUGGAAGCUUCGGGAGAAGGCUGAAAGCCACACGAGAGAGCCACAAGCCAACAUGGCACGAUAGGGGGGUCGGCGCACCCUAAUGUCUUGUCCCUCCAUGGUGUGCUCUCUACAUCCGUUGUAUGGCCUAUAAAUUCACAUAUAUUCGAAAAACCUUAUAUAACAGAGACAAACAUUUUUUCUGCCGUCGCAAGUCUCUGUUCCACGGCGAUCCCGUCUGGAGCUCCAUUCCGGCACCCUCGUACGAGGGGGAUCGAUCACGGAGGGCCUCUUGAUCAACCUUGUUGCCCUUGUGAUGAUGUGUGAACAGUUCACCAUAGACCUAUGAGUCUGUAGUUAGUACAUAGAUGGCUAUAACUCUCUCUCUUAAUUUUCAAUACAAUGAUCAUCACAUCUUUUCUUUGAUCUAUCUGAAGUAAUUCUUUUGUAUGGUGUGUUUGUUGGGAUCUGAUUAAUUAUGGGUUUAUGUUCAGAUUAUUCGUGAAAAACAUUUGAGUCUUCUCUUAGUUUUAUGAUUCCUAUUUGCGUGAUCAUCAUAGCUUCAUAAUUCUCUCCAUACUAUUGAAUUGCUUUGUCCAAGUUUCUUGAUACUUCUUAAGUGAGAGGGGUGCGUUGUAUUGGGUUCACCCUGACGAGUUUCUAUAUCCUAGUGAUAGAAGGGGACAAGCGUUGUCUUUGUGUUGUUGACACUAAGGAUAAAUUUAUGGGGUUUAUUCAUAUUUAUUGAGUUUAAUUAGUCUACAUCAUGUCAUUGUUCCCCAUGCAUUACUCUAUUUGUCAUGAACUUGAUACGUAGAGAGGCAAGCAUAAAAGUGCUCUUAAAGUGGAGUAAUAGUAGCAGGUGCAUGCUGGAUUUGUCUUAUUCGCUUAUGGAUGUCGUUCCUAUAUACACUAGAUCAUUGAAGUGAAAAUCGCAUAACAAUCCGGUUUUGUGUCAACUUCCCAACAGUAAUUUGUUUACCCACCAUAUGUUGCUUUCAUGAGAGAUGCCACUAGAGAAUACUAUGCCCCCGAGUCUAUUCACUUAUAUAUUCACAAAACUUAUAAUUUUCUUGUUGUUCUUAUUUUUCUUUUCUUUUAUUCCGCAUUUGACAAUUCUCUACAAUUAUGUACACACCUCAUUCGCUUGCAAGUAAUGAGAUCAAGGGGAUUAACAACCCUAUUGCCCGCGUUGGGUGCAAUUUGUUUUCUUUUGUGUUCUUCUGUUGAAGGCUGUCGAGGAUUGAUAUUCCUAUUGGUUUGAUAAACCUUGGUUUUAUAACUGUGGGAAAUACUUACUCGUAUUGUGCUGCAAUUACUCGUUCCUCUUCACGAAAAAGGAACGCAAAUCACAAGUAUCAGGAAGGACUUCUUGUGCUGUUGGCGGGAUAUAUCAUCACCAACUAUCAAGUAACUUCACGCAAAUUAUCAUUCACUUGUAAUUAUUUUUUAUUUCUGUAAUAUUUAUCUUCCUUCAAUAAAAAAAAGAAAAUAUUUAUCUUUUCUUGUUAGUAGUUUACUUCUUUGCUCGCUAUUUCACUUGUCCGACUUGUUACUUUGCUUGCCUGGUCACCAUGUCUCGAGAUACUACUAAGUUGUGUGACUUCUCAAAUACUAAUAAUAUUGAUUUUAUUACUACUCCUAUACCACCCGCAACUAGUGCGGAGGCUUUAAUACUAAUGUUUCAUAGCUGAAUCUUAACAUGAAAGAACAAUUUUUGGGAAGUCCUAAUGAGGAUCCCGCUACUCAUUUUAGUAACUUUGUCAAACUUUGUGAUAUGUAAAAGAAAAAGGACAUGAAUAAUGAUAUUAUGAAAUUAAACUUAUUUCCUUUUUCACUAAGAUAUAAAGCUAUGGCUUUUUCCACGUAAUAGUAUUGGAACAUGGGAUAAUUGUAAAGAUGCUUUUUUGCCAAUUAUUUUCCUCCUACUAAGACCCAUCUCCCUUAGAAAUCAAAUAAUUGAUUUUAAACAACUUGAUAAUGAACAUGUUGGACAAGCUUGGGAGAGGAUGUAAUUAAUGAUUAGAAAUUGUUGUGCACAUUGUUUAAAAUUGUGGAUGUUUAUCCAAAAUUAUAUGUUGGACUAAACUUUCUAUCUAUAAAUCUCUAGAUUCUGCGGUAGGUGGUACCUUCAUGGAGGUGACCUUAGGGAAGACCAAACUUCUGGACAACAUCAUAGUCAACUAUGCUCAAUGGAAUAUCGAAAGAGCUCCAAUUGGUAAGAAGGUAAAUUUUUUUGACAAAAUUACUACUUUGAGUGAAAAAGUGGAUGAUCUUAUGAAUUUGGUUGUUAAUUAAAAUGCUCAUGUUGAUACUAAUGACAUGCGCUUGUCUACUUUGAUUGAGAAAAUGAUAAUUCCAUUGAUAUGAAUUUUAUCUCACAACAUAAUAUUAAUAACAAUGCCUAUAGGGGUAGUUUCAAUGCUUGGCCAUAUCCCGCUAACCUCUAUAGUGGUUAUGGUAAUUAUUAGGGGAAUUCUUACCAAACUCCUUCUACGAAUUAUAAUAAGUUCUCAACUCACAUUGAAAACACUAUUAAAGAAUUCAUCAAUUCUCAAAAAGUUUUUAGUACAUGGUAGAGGAAAAGCUGCAUACGAAUGAUACUUCGGCUAAGAACAUGGAUAGAAUUUCCCUUGGCAUACAAACUCUUAAAAGUAAAGCUUUGCCACCCAAGAAUGAUUGUAAUGAGACUAUUAAAUCUGUCCAAAUAUCUAUGAAUGAAAGCAAGGAGAGGACCUCUAAGUUGAAAGCUAAGCGGGAAUUCCUAGAAAAAUCUCUCCCACUUGGUUUUUACCGUAAUCAUGAUGAAGAUAUUAAAACGAUUGACGCUUCUCCUAUUGAUUCCUUAUUUACUUCUCUAAAUAUAAAUGAUAAAGGCAAUGGAGAAGAGUCAAUUUUACCUAGAGAGCUUCUCAUUUACUUGGAGGGUGAUGAUUCAAAUGCUAAAACUGAAAAAGUGGGUUUGGAGAGCUCAAAAAAUUAACUAUUGAUGUUUGUCGGAAUCGGCGCUCCGGGGACCCAAAGAGGUUGAUGUUUGGGUUGUGCUAGUUCCCCUGCCCUGACCUACCUCGCAACCUAACGGUGACUAUCCGGCAUGCUCGAGCUAAGGAAGAAGAACAAUGGACAUGGCAGUUUACCCAGGUUAAGGCCACCUUGCUGUGUGAAACCCUACUCAUGCUUGUAUGGAUUGAUAGAGGGUGAUAAAGAGUCCUACUGUGUGUUCCGGGUAGCUUUGGGUCGAUGGGUCACCCUCUACAGUGGGAACCUGCUCUAUCUUAUACUCGUCAUAGACCUCCGCCCCUAAAACACAAGGCGGUAAGGGUUGGAACAAUGGCAAGUUGGCAGGGGACAUGACUACAACUUAUCGUGACAAAAGUUGUCUUCGCCUCCAAAAGCCUCCUCCUGUGACAUGCUGAUGGGAUCGGGAAGGAUCUCCAUCCUGUUGAACCCCCAGCCUUGGUCUUCUUGCACCAAACUGGAAACAUUUGGAGCUUGCUUUGGGAACCGACGAGUUAGUCCCACUCCCUUAGCACAAAAGAGGAAGGCCUCCUCAUUUGUGCCUGUCGGCAUGGCUCCUGGCACCGCUCAACGUGGCGCACAUCACCCACGUGAUGAUGCAGGACGGCAUGACCCCGUAGAGCCACACUUGAUUAGUCCUCCCCACGACGGCCUCGGGGGCACCCUCGAUGCGUGACCUCGUGGGAGGGCUUCGCGUGGCACCUCAUGAUACUUGCUGACAUGCGCCUCGCGAGGGAUUUUUCCAUGAAGUGCAAAGUUGGGCCACCCAGGGCCCAUGGCAUGCGUCACAUCUGGGGAUAAAAGAAUACUGGCUUGGGUAUCCUAGAUCUCACGGGCCCGACAGUAGCACCAGGGCCCGCGACAUGCAUGAUUCUGCUAGUUGGAGGUGAAAUUAUGCGGGCCCCAACCGCCUACGGGUCAAGAGCGAUGCAUGGUGCACGAUGUGGUGAGGGACACCCUCACUUACCCACGACCCCUCAGAAACUGCCAACACGGACAUAAAGUGUCCGCACGAUGCGGGACCAUCGUUCCUUUUUUCCUUGCCUUACGUCCGUCAAGCAAAGCUGAGGGGUCGCAGGUCAGCCAUCCGCCGACUGCUCUACAUUGGCAAGGUGACGUGUCCCUUGACUCGUCUUCCUCUGACUUGUUGUUCAUUCCUACUUGUUGUAAUACCGAUGGUGCAUGUGAGGACGUUCUCUGCUUCUGAGAAGGGAAAAGAAGUGAUGGAAGAUGGAGGAUGUGCUAGAGGCGGCGAGGGGGCGAGGCUGCCCUCACACGCCCACCACCACGGCCGGGGCGCCUUCCAGGGUGCGGGGCACACUUCGCUCGCUACCCAUGCCAUCUCACGAAGUCCUGGAAGAAUCUAAGCCUACAGACGUGGACGCGAGGGGUGAGAGGCCGCGGGCGUAGUAGGAGGAAUGGCACGGCCAUUCGGCCACGCCGACCGUGGAACCACACCACCGACGCGGCGUGCGAGUUUAUCAUGGGGAUGGACAACCAGACCCGCACCUGGGUCCGGCUCCUCGACUCCUUUGCAGAUGAGAUGGCGGAGCACGUGCCCCUGGCCCGCGGCUGUAGCUAGACGACUACUCCAACGGAUCUUCCUCGGUGGCGAGAGAGUUCAUACCCUCCGACUUCAUGUUCUUGAAGCAGGGGUGGAAGUCGUUCGCUCUUGCUCGCGGCUUGAAGGAGGGGCGUAUCCUCCAUUUCAAGAUCGGCGGGGCCUCCACACUCUUCAUGAAGAUCUUCAUGGAAGAUGGCAAUAGUCUGUGCUGCUGCAUGGAGAGAGACAGCAGCGGUGGUGGUAUUUCUUCAGACGAUGAUGGUAGCAGCAGCACUUGCUCCGCAAUCAGUGGAGCCGACGACUACGAUGACUCCUCAGGCGUCCGCCUCAAGAAGGAAGACUCUGACUAGGCGCAGGCGGCGCUAGAGUCAAAGUCCUGGAGGAGGUGCUGCUAUAGCCCAGUCCUUCGUCUUAUGCAAUAAACCGUGCUAGCCAUGCGGGUGUGUCUAAGAAGAAUUAUUGCCUUCGCACCUUAAGUCUAAUGCUGUCUAAAAUGAGUUCAUUGUUAGCGCUUCUCAUUAGGCAUGUCCCCUUCUCUAUAUCGCCUUAAUGCUCUACAUGAAAGCACAAUUUAUCGCUAAGGUGGUUUUGGUAAUAAAUCACAACAUAUGCAUGAUAUGAUAUUAUCAAUGUAUAUUUCAGAAAAGUUCGAAUAUGCCUUGUCUAAAGGAUUCUGAGGAGUAACACCUUGAUGAAGAAAAGUAAUAGGAUUGACUCAAGAUUCAAGCAAGAAGACUCUACAUUUUACAUUUAUGAGAAAUCACUUUGAAUCCAUAGGAAAGCCAAUACUAUUAAAAAGGGAUGAAGUACUAUGAUGAAUUGGUUGCUCAAGUGCUUAGAGAUAGCCACCAAAAAUAUUCACUCAUUGUCCCACAAAAUCAUUGUACAAAGCCAAACCAACAAAAUUAGUGCAACCAAAUUCUCCCAUUCGUCCGUACCGAUUUUCCACCACACGGAUCCUAUGACAAACCCUAAUCUCUUGGUACCACCAACUUCCAUAUCGGUGCCAUCGACAUGAGUGACCAACUUUAUGUUGAGAAAAUUCCAAUAAUCAAAAUUUCCGAGAUUGGAAUCGGUGUCACCAAGGUUUGUAAACUACUCUAGGUCAUUGUAUCGGUACCACCAAGAUUUAUAUAUGGGUCUCACCGAGAAUUCAAAAGUUUCCACAUUUAGUGUAACUUGGUACCAUCGAGAUUCAUUUUGGUGUCACCGUGUUGGGCAAUAAUGUUGUAAUGGGUGGAUUUUGGGGAUGCCUAUAUAUACCCCUCCACCUCCUCUCAUUCACAGAGGAAGCACUAAGAACACACACCCUCUUGCUAGACCCAUUUUUUGAGAUAGAGCCACCUAUUCAUGUGUUGAGAUCAAGAGAUUCCAAUUCAAGCAUUCCAAACUUGAUCUCUACCCUCUCCAAGUGGCCUUCCACAAAGUCAAUCUCUCCUACACAUGCCAAAUCUGUAAGAGAGUGAUUGAUUGUUGAGGAUACUAUCUUUUGAAGCACAAGAGGAACAAGUUCAUCGUUCAACCGCAUCUAUUAGCUUUUGGUGGGUGGUGCCUCCUAAAUUGGUUAGGUGUCGCUUGGUAGCCUCCUACUUCGUGUUGUGGAGUCGAACCAAGAAGCUUGUAAUGGCAAGGAGAUCCCCUACUUAGUGAAGAUCUACCACGAGCGAGGCUUGUCUUGUGUGGACGUAAGCCAUGGUGGAAUACACAAAGCCGCUUCUUUGGUGACCCCUUGUAGGUGGAGCCCACCGUGGACUUUCCUAGCCGUUACCCUCCAUGGGAUGAAAUCUCCACUAACGUGAACGUACGAUAGCACCACCUAUCGGAACCACGCCAAAAAUCGCUGUGUCAACCCUUGCGUUUGAUCUUCCUACCGUACACUCUACAUUACAUUUGCAUGUCUUUACUUUCCGCUUCUAUACUCUUAGGUAUGAAGGAGUAGGGUGAACUUGACUACUCAUAAUUCCUAAAAUUGGCCCACAACUAAAAUUGGGAAAUGCUAAGUUUUUAUUUUGUCGAGUAGUCUAAAUAACCCCCCUCUAGACAUACUUCAGAUCCUACAAGUGGUAUGAGAGGUUUGAUCUCCAUUGCCUUGGUUUCACAACCUAGGAGAGUAUGGUGUCUAGGGAGGGAAAUUAUCACCGUAGAAGCCCAUAUUCUGAUGGUACAAACUUUGCUAUUUGGAAGCAUAAGAUGAAAAUGCGUAUUCUUGGUCAUAAUCCUGUCAUUUGGGCUGUUGUUCGUGUUGGUGUGCAAGGUGUUUUCUUGGAAGAAGGAAGAGAACUGGAUCAUGAUGCGCCAACGGAAUUAUUCACUACAAGUAAUUUUCCCAUUUAUGACCAAAAAUAAUGACCGGAGUCAAAUUCGUCAUAAAUUUAUGACCAAAUUUUACAAAAGGGUCAUGUGAUGUUUAAGAAGGUCCAAACCCUAUACCACCAUGACUAUUUCUUCUCAGAAGGUCAUAAUUCCAUUGCACCAAAUGGUCAUUGAAAUGUAUAACACUAUUUAUGUGCUUAUUUCAUGCCCUACAUGACCAAUUCAACAAGGUCAUAGGGUUGAAUAGAGAUGGAUGGACAAACACCUUAUCACUUUUGCCUACAUGUCAUGUAUAAUUGUCAAUUACGUGUUUGAGCCAUAGAGUAUAACUACACUAAUAGGUGGGACACACAUAUUGUGUUACAAAUGCAAAUGACUACGGGGACCCACAUUUAACAUGUGGGAUAACCUAAUAGGCUCAAGAACUGACCCACGAGACGAUAGGCCCGCAUAGGACAUGCAACUCAUUCUUUCAUAUACGUGCUUGAUACUAGAAAUAUACAUAAAUACUUAAAAUAAGUUAUUUGUUUGAUUUAUAGACUUUCUUUGAGAUACACGUACUUAAAAUUCAAAUUAUAUUACAUAAGAACUUGGAAAUGUAUUUCAUAAUGCCUACAUGAUGGUAAAUACUGAAUUGCACACACGUGAGAUGAUGCUUCCGUGAGUGCAAUGUCGAACGUUUUUUGGUUUGUGUUGCAAAUUGAAAUUUAAUCUCUUAAUUAUAUUUUACCCACUUCCAAAAUCUACAAUUUUAACGGAAGCCAGUUUUGUUUUCAUAGAACUCAGAGCUUUAUUUUAUCAAAUUAUAAUCCGGUCACAAACUGUCAUGCAGUUGAUGACAAAACUCGGGUCUUUGAUCAAGCCAACUCUAGAACUAUUGACAAAUUCAAGGGAUAGAAAAGAAAUGAUAGUACACUCUACUAAAUAUGAAUUUCUAGCCAAAAAAUCACAUAUUAAAUUUUCAUAGGAUUUGCACCACAUAGAUUUUUUUCUUUGAGGGCAGAGCCAUAUAGAUGCCACCAAGCUUUAGAAAAGCAAAAGGAGAAGGACACACUGUAGCUACCUUUUUAAGGUCAGUAGUCACCUUGAUUUUUUAAGACAAAGUAGCCACCUUGAUUGCCUCAGGCGCUCGACAAUGCGCGAUUUUUUGGUUGCCUGCGGGGUUUAUAUUUCAUUUCCCGUACAUUUUUAGCACAGUCGAAAAUUUUGGGCCAAGACCCCUUCCCACAUGUCCACGCAGCCACAAUCCAAAUCCUAAUCCUCCUAUUCUACCUCCCAACACCCCAAAGGCCGAAGCCACCAUCUGUUAGGGUUUCUCCUUUAGCGCCGCCGCCGCCAGCACGAUCUAUAGCCACUGUAAUCCAUCCUCUUCUCCGCUUGCUGGAUAGAGAUCUCCAUCGACGCUGAAGCACUCUCUUCCAAGCUUCUCGACCUGCCAUUGAGCGCAAAAUUUCCACAACCGAGGGGCCUCUCCUGCCUCCGAGCCCUCGGCCUCCCCGAGCUGCCUCUCCCGCUGAUGAGCGCGGCUUCGCCACCGACUCCCCAAGUUUCUUCUCGCACGUCUGACUGCCUCCCCGAGAUGUCGCGACAUCACCACUGAAGCCCACCCGCUGCUCCUCUCCUUACCGGAGCAUAUCUUUGGUACCGACACAACACCGAUGCUCUACUUCAGCCACUUUCCAUCAGAGGUAUCAGUACCACUGUCCCAUCCUUCCCUCAGUUCUGCUCAUUGGAUGAUAGGUGUGUGCUGGAUGUGGUUUGCUGCGCUGAAUGAUGCGUGUGCGUGUUGUACGCGGUGCGUGUGUGCAUUAUGCAUGUGUCUGAUGUAUGUAUGUUGCGUGUGUGUUGAUUGCUGGAGGUAGAGAGUCCAUAGCAUUGUACCAAAAGUAGCCUUAGUGUGGUAGUACGAAUUAAUUUAAAGUUUAGUAAUACCUAGUAGAAUAUUAGUAUGUUAGAUCUAAUACAGAGUAGCGGUUAUAUAUCGUCCAUGCAUUUCUUAAUACAACGGUACUCAUGAUUGUGAAAUCUUUCUCAUAAGAUGCUGCAAGUAUCACCAGUAGAAUGAUUGUGAAAUAUUGCAGUAUGUAUAAAAGAUUCUAAAGUAUGCAUGUAGUUUGAGGUUUCUAUGAGAACAAUGAUUUUUUAUGCUUUCUCCAUGAGGAUUUAACACGUGGAGGAUUUUAUUCUUUAUGCAUAAAAGCAGUCAACUUUCUAGGAGUGCUUACCUUUCAUUCUUUCAUUGUUUUAGGUAUGUGGCCUAUGAAUAUGCCAACUUAGAUAUGUUGAAAAAGAAGAUCGAUGUCUAGAAUUUUGGCGUGCUGCCAUUGGAAUCAGUGGCUCGGAGGGAUCCUAUAUAUUGUUGUAAGCCAAGAAAUGAGGUGAACAUAUAUUCUACUUUAAGUGGUGCAUACUGGUGUCAUUUUUGUUUUAACAUCGAUGUUGUAUCGGCUUGAAAAGACAAUUUGUUUCAGUUGUAAUAUUCUGUUACCUCAGUUUGUCUGAACAUAGCAGACCUUAUGUUUCCUUCCCAAUUGUCAUAUGGUUUUCUAUCAUGUCAUCUUCUUGGCUGCUGGGAAUGUACAUUAAUCAACUAUCACAUGGAUGACAUGCAGAUGCAUCCGGUGGCGUGGCUCAAGAUGAUGAUGGGCACGAGGAGAGUUAUGAGUGCCGAAGGAGUGUUUGGAAGUGUUUUGUUGUGCAAAACAUAUGUUAUAUCAGAAGGUUUUAUAACGUACCAAUUGAUGGUUUUCUGCUGUUUUUUGUGAGUUCUCAAGAUUAGAGAGAUGCUAAGGAGAACAAAACUUUUGUGUGCGGUUUCGGAGAACCAUGACUGAUUGCUAGCUUAGGUUCCUCUCUUCUAAUUUGUCUCUCAUCGGAUGAACACUAUCUAGCUUCAUAUGCAUCCAGCUAGUCUUUGACAACAUUGCGAUUUUGUUUUUGCACUAUUUUUUAGCAACUACCACGCCUAGUGAUGAAUACUAUUGUGCCUGACACUAUCUGUCAAUGGCCUAAACUGAAAUUGCAGGAAUCAUAUAAAAUCUACUCCCUCUGUCCCAAAAUAAGUGAAACAAAUUUAAUACUAAGUUAGUUAAAAUUUUGUACUAAAGAAGUGACACUUAUUUUGGACGGGGGGAGUAGUUCAUAAAAAUGAGCAAUAACGGGACAUUUGCUUCUCUAGUUUUUUUGUCUAUAAAGUAAUUUUGUAGUUGGAAGUUGCAUAAAGAACCUUUUGUUUUCAAAUGAAGGUGCAUGUACUCGUGUGAGAUAAUUUCUAUUGCAAAGAUCAUACAGAUUUGUUACUUCUUAUUUCAUGCUAUAUUAGUAGAUUACUCAAACGUCGAACUUUUAGAACUUCAGAGAUUCCUAUCAUUUAUGUUUGAUCACACUCACUAGCUAUGAAAUCUGCAUGCCCGUUUCCAUUAGACCACCAUUAUCUGUAAGAUAUUUACCUUUAACUACAACCUUGAUCUUACAGGUUUGAACUUUGAACAGCAAGAGCAGCACAAUGGGAAUCGUCAUCGUGGUGGACAAAACUGAUGUUCCUCAUCCCCCUUUCCCUAUAAGUUUGAGUCACUCUCAUGCAUCUUCAUGGUAACUAUCAUAGUUGACUAGUUGCAUGUGGAUGGUCGAUAUGAGUGUUGCUGAUGUUAGUGUUGUCGUAUAAUCAGUUGAUUUUUUGUCAUGUUAUUAUAUCUGUGAAAUUUGAACUUAUAUUGUUACUCAUGUUAGAUUUUGAUUUAGGAAGUAAUUAUUCUUUUAUAGUUUUUCGUUCAUUGAAAAAGCACCAUUUCAUUGAACUAGUUAGAAAGGAUUUACUCCCUUCAUUCCUAAAUAUAAGUCUUUUUAAAUAUAUCACUAGGUGACUACAUACGGAGCAAAAUGGGCGAAUCUACACUCUAAAGUAUGUCUAUGUACAUCCGUAUGUAGUCACCUAAUGGAUCUUCUAAAAAGACUUAGUAUUUAGGAACGGAGGGAGCAGUUUACAAUACUAAUAUACUAGUGGAGGUGUUAUACUUUAAUGGGAAUGUGUGUGCGCUUUGCUUCUCCCAAGUCUUAGUUGUAUAAGUAUUAACUAAUUUGUGGUAGGUAGUGGAUGGUUCUAGCACUUCUAAAUUUGUGCACCUCACAUUGUUAUCGACAAUUACCUCUUUAAAUAAUUACAAGUACAUCCUUUUGUGGUCCUUUGAAUAAUCAUCAAAUGAUCAUUAUGUACUGAGUGCUCCUUUCAUAAGUAAGAUUUUUGUUUUCAUUUAAGUAUUCGAAACUUUGAAAUGGAUGUUUUUACACUAUUGUUGAACUUGCUGAUUUUUUUGUAUUUAAUGCUAUAUGAUAAUCUUUUGUUUCUUUACUUUUUAUUUGAGGCUUGCUUCUCAUCUGUGAUCCUUCAUGCUCUCAGAAGUUUGGAAGAGGAAGAUAAUGAAAGCCAUAUCUAGAAUAGCUAGAUGAUGUAGAGAUGUACCUUUUCUUUGAUUGGUGUGACUAUUGGUAUCAUUGGUUUGUUUUAUUUAGUGUUGAAUGUAUCAAACUUGUAUGUAAUAUCAUAUUUGCCUGUGUUGUGAUUUCGAAUGUUGCUACAUGUACUGCAUUUAUUGUUAUAAUUGCAAAAAAAU